RNAcentral lists this ribosomal RNA (292 nucleotides) under uncultured bacterium. Its description in RNAcentral is "partial 16S ribosomal RNA". It matches the Rfam family "Bacterial small subunit ribosomal RNA", at positions 505 to 796 of the family's 1533-position model. The record is from RNAcentral.
GUGUCAGCAGCCGCGGUAAUACGAAGGGUGCAAGCGUUAAUCGGAAUUACUGGGCGUAAAGCGUGCGUAGAUGGUUUGUUAAGUCGAAUGUGAAAGCCCCGGGCUCAACCUGGGAACUGCAUCCGAUACUGGCAGACUAGAGUGUGGUAGAGGAUGGCGGAAUUCCCGGUGUAGCGGUGAAAUGCGUAGAGAUCGGGAGGAACAUCCGUGGCGAAGGCGGCCAUCUGGACCAACACUGACGUUGAGGCACGAAAGCGUGGGGAGCAAACAGGAUUAGAAACCCGCGUAGUCC